RNAcentral lists this small RNA (737 nucleotides) under Pongo abelii (Sumatran orangutan). RNAcentral's name for it is "processed transcript". Lineage: Eukaryota; Metazoa; Chordata; Mammalia; Primates; Hominidae. The record is from RNAcentral.
GGCCUCAGGCCCCUUUGCCAGUGAGGGAAGGGUCUGCAGUGGUCACUCCCGGAGGCGGUGUGGCCGCUCUCUGAGAGCGUCCUUGCUGGUUCUAACAGUGGGGGCUCUUCCUGCUCCAGCCGCUGAUGGUGGAUGUGGGGGGCCAGCGGUCGGAGCGGAGGAAGUGGAUCCACUGCUUUGAGAACGUGACAUCCAUCAUGUUUCUCGUCGCCCUCAGCGAAUACGACCAAGUCCUGGUGGAGUCGGACAACGAGAACCGGAUGGAGGAGAGCAAAGCCUUGUUCCGGACCAUCAUCACCUACCCCUGGUUCCAGAACUCCUCCGUCAUCCUCUUCCUCAACAAGAAGGACCUGCUGGAGGACAAGAUCCUGUACUCGCACCUGGUGGACUACUUCCCUGAGUUCGACGGGCCCCAGCGGGACGCCCAGGCGGCGCGGGAGUUCAUCCUGAAGAUGUUUGUGGACCUGAACCCCGACAGCGACAAGAUCAUCUACUCACACUUCACGUGUGCCACCGACACGGAGAACAUCCGCUUCGUGUUCGCGGCUGUGAAGGACACCAUUCUGCAGCUCAACCUCAAGGAGUACAACCUGGUCUGAGCGCCCAGGCCCGGGAGAUGGGGCGGAGACACGGGGCAGGACCUUCCUUCCACGGAGCCUGCGGCUGCCGGGCGGGUGGCGCUGCCAAGUCCGGGCCGGGGCCUCUGCCCGCGGGAGGAGAUUUUUUUUUUCAUAUUU